AUGGGGUUGCCUCAGGGCAAGCCGCACCCGUGGGACAAUGACUGGGUGACAGGUUCGUUGGGGUCUCCUUGCCUGCCUUCCUUAGGGACCCAGCACUGCUGCCGUCGUGAUUCUCCUCCCAACCUCCGUGGGCUUCCUGGAGCCUCUUCAGCCUGGUGUAGGCUCCCCCUAACCCAGCCACUCAAGGUGCCAGGCAAAGACUCUGGAGACUCUGCCUGGACUGGACCCUGUCAGCAGAACCCUGAACAGAGGAUGGGCUCCACCCUGAAGACCUGAAGGAUUCCUUCAUUGAGUUUCCUGUGGAGGACCGGGAGGAAUUUCCCCAUCACUUCCCAGGAGGAGCUGUGUGUGGCCUUGAGACAGGUAAACAAAGAGAUCAGGAGCUCAGACUGGCCUCAGGAAGCUUUCCAUGGCCUUAUUUCUGUUUUCUUCCCUCUCCCUUCCUCCUUCCCCUUUAGUCAAUUUUAUUUGAUUUUUGGUUCCAAAUUGUCUUCCUGAACUCCUCCUCUGCCCAUUGGGAAGGACAGAAAAGCCAAUAAAACAUAGGCAAAAGCCUUGCA
RNAcentral lists this long non-coding RNA (560 nucleotides) under Monodelphis domestica (gray short-tailed opossum). RNAcentral's name for it is "lncRNA (ENSMODG00000051488.1)". Lineage: Eukaryota; Metazoa; Chordata; Mammalia; Didelphimorphia; Didelphidae. The record is from RNAcentral.